CCUACGUGAGGCAGCAGUGAGGAAUAUUGGUCAAUGGGCGCGAGCCUGAACCCGCCAAGUAGCGUGAAGGAUGACUGCCCUACGGGUUGUCAACUUCUUUUAUAAAGGAAUAAAGUGAGGCACGUGUGCCUUUUUGUAUGUACUUUAUGAAUAAGGAUCGGCUAACUCCGUGCCGGCAGCCGCGGUAAUACGGAGGAUCCGAGCGUUAUCCGGAUUUAUUGGGUUUAAAGGGAGCGUAGAUGGGUUGUUAAGUCAGUUGUGAAAGUUUGCGGGUCAACCGUAAAAUUGCACUUGAUACUGGCAGUCUUGAGUACAGGUGAGGUAGGCGGAAUGCGAGGUGUAGCGGUGAAAUGCUUAGAGAUCACGAAGAACUCCGAUUGCGAAGGCGGCUUACUAAACUGCAACUGACAGUGAUGAUCGAAAGUGUGGGUAGCAAACAGGAUUAGAUACCCGAGUAGUC
This 460-nucleotide ribosomal RNA is filed under the name uncultured bacterium. RNAcentral's name for it is "partial 16S ribosomal RNA". It matches the Rfam family "Bacterial small subunit ribosomal RNA", at positions 338 to 795 of the family's 1533-position model. The record is from RNAcentral.